GUCUACGGCCAUGCCACUGUAAACAAGCCUGAUGUCUGAUCUCAGAAGCUAAAUAGGGUCGGGCCUGGUUAGUAUUUGGAUGGGAGACCACCUAGGAAGACCAGGUGCUGUAGGCA
RNAcentral lists this ribosomal RNA (116 nucleotides) under Pteropus alecto (black flying fox). Lineage: Eukaryota; Metazoa; Chordata; Mammalia; Chiroptera; Pteropodidae. The record is from RNAcentral.